AAAGUUCCAUAUUUUUAUAUUAAAGUUGGAACAAUACAGAAAAUAUUAGCAUAGUUCCUCUGCAAGAAUGACAUGCAAAUUUGUGAAUCAUUCCAUACUUUU
This is a small nuclear RNA of Erinaceus europaeus (western European hedgehog), 102 nucleotides long. Lineage: Eukaryota; Metazoa; Chordata; Mammalia; Eulipotyphla; Erinaceidae. The record is from Ensembl.